RNAcentral lists this ribosomal RNA (442 nucleotides) under uncultured bacterium. RNAcentral describes it as "partial 16S ribosomal RNA". It matches the Rfam family "Bacterial small subunit ribosomal RNA", at positions 338 to 795 of the family's 1533-position model. The record is from RNAcentral.
CCUACGGGUGGCUGCAGUGGGGAAUAUUGGGCAAUGGGCGCAAGCCUGACCCAGCAACGCCGCGUGAAGGAAGAAGGCUUUCGGGUUGUAAACUUCUUUUGAGAGGGAAGAGCAGAAGCCGGUACCUCUUGUAUAAGCUUCGCCUAACUACGUGCCAGCAGCCGCGGUAAUACGUAGUUGGCAAGCGUUGUACGGAUUUACUGGCGGUAAAGGUCGUGCAGGCGGGAAGACAAGUCAGAUGUGAACUCCUCCGGCUCAACCGGGGAACUGCCUUGGGAACGGUGUUUCUUGAGUACCGGAGAGGUGAGCGGAAUUCCAUGUGUAGCGGUGAAAUGCGUAGAUAUAAGGAAGAACACCAGUGGCGAAGGCGGAUGUCUGGACGGCAACUGACGGUGAGGCGCGAAAGCGUGGGGAGCAAACAGGAUUAGAUACCCCAGUAGUC